RNAcentral lists this ribosomal RNA (253 nucleotides) under uncultured bacterium. Its description in RNAcentral is "partial 16S ribosomal RNA". It matches the Rfam family "Bacterial small subunit ribosomal RNA", at positions 524 to 776 of the family's 1533-position model. The record is from RNAcentral.
UACAGAGGGUGCAAGCGUUGUUCGGAAUUAUUGGGCGUAAAGCGCGUGUAGGCGGCUUUGCAAGUCGGGUGUGAAAUCCCUCGGCUCAACCGAGGAAGUGCGCCCGAAACUGCAGAGCUUGAGUACUGGAGAGGAUGGUGGAAUUCCCCAAGUAGAGGUGAAAUUCGUAGAUAUUCGGAAGAACACCAGUGGCGAAGGCGACUUACUGGACACAUAUUGACGCUGAGGUGCGAAAGCGUGGGGAGCAAACAGG